UACGAAGGGGGCUAGCGUUGCUCGGAAUGACUGGGCGUAAAGGGCGCGUAGGCGGACAUCUUUGUCGGGCGUGAAAUUCCAGGGCUUAACCUUGGGGGCUGCGUUCGAGACGGGGUGUCUUGAGUGGGGAAGAGGGUCGUGGAAUUCCCAGUGUAGAGGUGAAAUUUCGUAGAUAUUGGGGAAGAAACACCGGUGGCGAAGGCGGCGCCCUG
This 212-nucleotide ribosomal RNA is filed under the name uncultured bacterium. RNAcentral describes it as "partial 16S ribosomal RNA". It matches the Rfam family "Bacterial small subunit ribosomal RNA", at positions 524 to 731 of the family's 1533-position model. The record is from RNAcentral.